Molecule: ribosomal RNA, 238 nt
Filed under: uncultured bacterium
Lineage: Bacteria
Description: partial 16S ribosomal RNA
Rfam family: Bacterial small subunit ribosomal RNA
Source: RNAcentral
UGAGGAACAUGACUUUCGGCGGGGGAUAGCCGGCCCAACGGCCGGGUAAUACCGCGUACGACCUUUCGGGGACAUCCCUGGGUGGUGAAAGCAGCAAUGCGCCGAUGGAGUGCCUCGCGGCCUAUCAGCUAGUUGGUGAGGUAACGGCUCACCAAGGCGACGACGGGUANCUGGUCUGAGAGGAUGGCCAGCCACAGUUGGGACUGAGACACCGGCCCAGACCUCCCGUACGGGGAGG